AUUGAUGUGAUGAUCCUUUCUCAGAUGAUCUAUAUUAAUUAUAUUGUGCGUUUGUUGUAUUUUCUCUUUUUAUUAGAGAAUCUAUCAAGCCAGAAUUCUGAUCUUU
Molecule: small nucleolar RNA, 106 nt
Filed under: Macleaya cordata
Lineage: Eukaryota; Viridiplantae; Streptophyta; Magnoliopsida; Ranunculales; Papaveraceae
Description: Small nucleolar RNA Z103
Rfam family: Small nucleolar RNA Z103
About the family: This family consists of several snoRNA Z103 sequences which are members of the C/D class of snoRNA which contain the C (UGAUGA) and D (CUGA) box motifs. This family seems to be found exclusively in plants. C/D box small nucleolar RNAs are known to act as a methylation guides for 18S ribosomal RNA.
Source: Rfam by way of RNAcentral